AAGUCGUAACAAGGUUUCCGUAGGUGAACCUGCGGAAGGAUCAUUAACACGUAUCCAUGACAGUGUCGCUGAUUGUCUAAGGAUUUCGCUUUACGAUCACUGGAGGUCCGAUUACCGACCGGUGGAACAAGUCACAGGGCUUCGGCUUCUUGCAUUUUCUCGGACGAGUGCAGGGAUUGCUGUUUGGCUUUAUCCAAGACUUAGCCAUGAGGAGCGGCGAUGAAGGUUCACGUGGUUUUUAACGUUCACUGACUGCUUGGGGAAAAACAAGCCACCUUACCAAGCGCUCUUAGACCCAUAGUGCUCUGUCAAACACCCUCCCCAACCCCACUUUCUAUUGCCGCUCCGCGCUAACACGCCGGGCAUUUAAAAACGUUUAAACAACUGUUAACAAUGGAUAUCUUGGUUCUC
This 411-nucleotide unclassified non-coding RNA is filed under the name fungal sp. RNAcentral describes it as "partial internal transcribed spacer region". The stretch from base 1 to 46 matches the Rfam family "Eukaryotic small subunit ribosomal RNA", at positions 1786 to 1831 of the family's 1831-position model. The record is from RNAcentral. Lineage: Eukaryota; Fungi.